This 566-nucleotide long non-coding RNA is filed under the name Anolis carolinensis (green anole). RNAcentral describes it as "lncRNA (ENSACAG00000032147.2)". Lineage: Eukaryota; Metazoa; Chordata; Lepidosauria; Squamata; Anolidae. The record is from RNAcentral.
ACCAUCUAUAAAGCCUGGGUCCACAAGGCCCUGGCAGGGCUGAGAGGCCUGCUGUUGUGCUGCAGAAGAGGCCAGAAACAUCUCCAGCCAGUCUGCCUGUUGCUGCCUCUGGGACUCCUUGUGAGUAGACUGCAGCCCCAGGCCCUUUCCAUCUGGGUGUGACUCAGCACUUCCUAGGAAGGACCAUCUAUAAAGCCUGGGUCCACAAGGCCCUGGCAGGGCUGAGAGGCCUGCUGUUGUGCUGCAGAAGAGGCCAGAAACAUCUCCAGCCAGUCUGCCUGUUGCUGCCUCUGGACUCCUUGCCUACUGCCCCCCUCCCUUUUUCCCAGCGCUGGGCUACAUGGCUGAAAAAGUUUGAGAACUCCUGCUCUGUACUAUAGAUCAGAUGUGAAGAAAGAGCACUGAGUUGAUUUAUUCAGUUCAGCUGAAAAGGAUGACACCCGUGAUCGUUCGUCAGGAAGCCAUAACAUGCAACACAGAGCAUCAACCUUUAUAAUACAGAAAACAGGUAGGUGCGAUUUGAAGUUCGCGCCACUCAUUCCCCCGCCCACCUGUGCGCUGAUUGG